Long non-coding RNA from Brienomyrus brachyistius, 2099 nucleotides. RefSeq lists it as uncharacterized. The record is from RefSeq and is a predicted model, not a curated record. Lineage: Eukaryota; Metazoa; Chordata; Actinopteri; Osteoglossiformes; Mormyridae. The transcript has 2 exons.
AUCUAGCCUCAGGCCUGUUCGCGAGGGCGUUUCAGUGUUCGGCAAAUGAACCACAAUACAGAAGGCGCCGAUUCCCCUUCUCCAGCGAUCAGACCUUUGUCAGGCUGGUGCUGCAGUGUGGCAGAAUCCAGCAAGCUGGCACUGAGAGAUAACCGAGUAACACUGCAGGAACUUCACCAUCUCCAUGGGUAAUACCGGCAUCACCCAAGGUAAAACUGCCAUCUCGAUGGGGGACUCCUCCCUGAAAAGGGACACGACCACCAUCUCAAUGGGAAACACUACCAUCAAAAGGGGCAUAACCACCUCGUCCAUGGGCAAAUCCAGCUAUAGCAGGGGCAAGACCACCACCUCUUUGGGAAAAGCCAGAAUCACAAGAGACAAGACCACCUUUUCACUUGGGAAACCCAGCAACUCAAAACGCUAACUAAAAUCGACCAACCAGAUGGGCGCAAGAACAACCGAUGCAACUUAGGAUGGACAACACAACUGCCGAAAAGGAUGAGGGAUCUUGGUGCCAACUAAACCGGAGCCUGGGAGGUGCCUGCUGUAUUCUGCUGAUGUAUGCUUGAGACACGAACCACCGGGAGUCACACUCUGUAUAGAAUUUAACACCUAACCGACGCCCAUGUGCCUGGAGGCCAACGUUGCUCCCCGUCUUCAUUGUGGUUUUAGAUACCAAGUAAUCAUUUUCGCAUCCUUAGCUACUGAUGCUUGAGUUGGGCUUGUCUGCUACCCUCACACAUUCACGGUAAUCAUGCAAAUCUCAUACACCAGGAAGACGCCAAUUACGGAUAGCGGCAGAACUGUACACAAAACGGGGAAUGAAAAACUGUCGAAGUAUAACAAUUGGCUAAUUUAGGUUAAUGGCGUGUGAAGAAGACGGCCGUAAAAACCACGCCCUCGGCCGGGAAGCGAGUCUCUGCGUUCCCGAAAGGAGAUGCACGGACCGCAUGGUGGAGACACGAGGACCUCGGUCCAUCUGAAGAGAAACUCACAGCGAAGGAAGUCCGAUAACUCCUGCUAUUUAAUGUCCAUUUUCAGGUGCAUAAAUGUCACAGUGGGUAGUAUAGCAUACAGAUUAUUUUCUGUUUAAGUAACUUUACAUCCAAAUCCCAAUUACUUCUACCAUUGUUUGUAAAAGCCACAGAUCAUGCACAUGUCCGAAUAAUAUAUAUUUGUUGUUCUGCUAGAGUCAUUCAAUAAUAUAACGCUAAACAUUGCUAAUGCAGCAAAAAAACAGGAUAGAUAAGCAGUGUGUUAUCCAUGUCUUAGUAACGUAAUUAUUUUAAAUGUCUGUUAAGUCUUGUGUCAUAAGGUUUUUUAAACGUGUGUCUGUUGUCUCCGAGAUUCAUCUUCUGUGUCUGCUUGAGCUGCUAAAAGAAAGUUGAUUAUGUUGACGGUGUUGUAAUCUUUUCCUGAAAAGGUGCUGUGAUUUUUAUGCUUGUGCGUGCGACCAGAUAGGCUAUUGCAGGAUCUCAUGUGGCGCCAGAUAUUUCAUUUAUGCGACGGCACUGUGAAACACCGAAAGAGUACAUUAUUAUAUCCCUUCACAAAUCAAGGCAAAUCAAGGCGCACUUGUAUCUUCCACUGCUCUGCGCACGAUCCUCUGUUACGGCAUCCGGCAAAAAUAAAUCGAAAUCAUAUAUAUGUACAAGUCUUUUUAAAAACACUUACGACCAAUGCGGCUUGUAAGGAAGAUUUGAAGAGCAGUGCCGCUAAGUUAAAUGACGUCAGCGACGAUGUCCCCUUCAGUGGCGUUACUAUGAGCAGAACACAAUUAGUUCACUGUCUUUCCCAGUAAAGCGCUCUCUACAGAUUCAGCACAAGGAUUCUUGACACUAAACCCCCAGAGGACUGGAAUUUAAAAAGUUACAGCAAUUGCUUGUUCAGACCGUUUUACUUUCGUCCCAUCCCUAUGAAAUAAAGGCCUUGGCUUUGAGCACCGUGCACGGUCUAAAGGUGUCAAACAUCUACCCAAACUGGUGCUAUGACAGAUGCUGUAUUCCUGUAGCCGAUGACGUCUCUACUCCAUUUCGCUAUAUUGUUUUGUUACUGGGGGGGAAAUCACUAAAAAUAAAGCCAUACCAAUGUGUUAUUUA